GCUGGGCAUGAUGGCUCAUGCCUGUAGUCCUAACUACUGAGGAAGGAAGCUGAGGUGGGAGGAUCAUUUGAGCCCAGGAGGUUGAGGCUGCAGUGAGCCAUGAUUGCACCACUGCACUCCAGCUAGGGCAACAGAGUGAGAUCCCAUCUCAA
RNAcentral lists this non-coding RNA (152 nucleotides) under Pan paniscus (pygmy chimpanzee). Lineage: Eukaryota; Metazoa; Chordata; Mammalia; Primates; Hominidae. The record is from Rfam by way of RNAcentral. RNAcentral also lists the same sequence under 1 other name.